UAGGGAAUUUUGCGCAAUGGACGAAAGUCUGACGCAGCAACGCCAUGUGUGGGAUGACGCAUUUCGGUGUGUAAACCACUGUCGGCAGGGAAUAAAGCCCACGUUUACGUGGGGGUGAAUGUACCUGCAGAGGAAGCCCCGGCUAACUUCGUGCCAGCAGCCGCGGUAAUACGAGGGGGGCAAGUGUUGUUCGGAAUCACUGGGCGUAAAGGGAGCGUAGGCGGAUGUUUAAGUCGGGUGUUUAAAACCGGGGCCCAACCCCGGAGCGGCACCCGAAACUGGGCAUCUUGAAUAGGUCAGAGGCUGGUGGAAUUGGAGGUGUAGCGGUGGAAUGCGUAGAGAUCUCCAAGAACACCUAUUGCGAAGGCAGCCAGCUGGGACCAUAUUGACGCUGAGGCUCGAAAGCAUGGGGAGCAAACAGG
Molecule: ribosomal RNA, 422 nt
Filed under: uncultured bacterium
Lineage: Bacteria
Description: bacterial SSU rRNA
Rfam family: Bacterial small subunit ribosomal RNA
Source: RNAcentral